GACGAACGCUGGCGGCGUGCUUAACACAUGCAAGUCGAACGGAAAGGCCCUGCUUGCAGGGUACUCGAGUGGCGAACGGGUGAGUAACACGUGGGUGAUCUGCCCUGCACUUCGGGAUAAGCUUGGGAAGCUGGGUCUAAUACCGGAUAGGAACCAUCUUUAGUGUGGUGGUUGGAAAGUUUUUUCGGUGUAGGAUGAGCUCGCGGCCUAUCAGCUUGUUGGUGGGGUAAUGGCCUACCAAGGCGGCGACGGGUAGCCGGCCUGAGAGGGUGUACGGCCACAUUGGGACUGAGAUACGGCCCAGACUCCUACGGGAGGCAGCAGUGGGGAAUAUUGCACAAUGGGCGCAAGCCUGAUGCAGCGACGCCGCGUGGGGGAUGAAGGCCUUCGGGUUGUAAACUCCUUUCGCUAGGGACGAAGCUUUGUUGUGACGGUACCUAGAUAAGAAGCACCGGCUAACUACGUG
RNAcentral lists this ribosomal RNA (466 nucleotides) under uncultured bacterium. RNAcentral describes it as "partial 16S ribosomal RNA". It matches the Rfam family "Bacterial small subunit ribosomal RNA", at positions 28 to 507 of the family's 1533-position model. The record is from RNAcentral.